UGCUGCUGUGCCCUGGCUGUGGGUGCUGCUGUGCAGGAUGUGAGCACUGAUGUGCUGUGGGUGCUGGUGCCCUGGCUGUGAGCACUGGCUGGCCUGGAUCUGAAGGGAUCAGAUCAGAAGGGUCACUGUCAGUCAGCUCAGUGACUGUUUCUGUCCAGUUAAAGAAAGCCCAGUGUUCCAUGGAUGCUGAAGUAGGUUUUCCUCCCCGAGUGUUCUGUUCCCUCAGUUCCUGGAUAGCUGGACAGAUCUGGUGACAGCCCCUCCCUAACGGGCAUUGGUCACUUCCCUGUGUAACCCUGUGCUCUGCAUCCUGCACAUCACAAAUUAGACAUACGCUUUCACUCAAAUAUUAACGAGUUCUCUUACCUCUCUUUUGCACAUCUAUUUCCUGCAGUCUGACAAGUGUAGCCAAGUUGCAUAAAUUCGACUGCAAAAAAAAAAAAAAAAAAGAAAAAGGGAAAAUGAGGAAGUUUUAUCUCAAACGCUCCUUUUACCACCAAACCACUGGGUGUCAGUGUCGAUCUCGCUCGGAUAUUGCUGUAACUUACUUCCAUAGCAAACCAGCCGUUUUUAAAGACCCUUACGGUGUUGGGAACUAUCCACGUUCUUCUCCAGGUGUGUUCAGAAUAAAUAUUUUGCUUCCACUGGCUGUUUCAGGAUAUUUUCAACUCGGUGAUUGCAGCGUUGUUCCUCCUCGUUGUGUGCUUGUUUGCAGUAAUUGUCAAGAGCAACAAGGGGACAUUGGCUGGAGGAGUGUUGGGUCUUAUAUUGCUUGUUCUCUGCGUUGUCGACACGGUUCUUCUUUGCAAGAAGAUUAGCCUUGCUAGACCAAGAGGAAGGAAUGCUCCUACCAGAUAAGACUGCCGUGUUAGUAAAAGGAUUUCUCCAUUGAUGAUUGUUUCACCACUCUCUUUUAAAGAAUUUGUGUUUUCACAUGUUCACCUUAGAAUUUCCUGUGCAUUGAUGUAUGUUUUUGCAAGUAUUGUUUAUACGGUUUUCAGACAUUUCCAAAUGUAGUUUCAGUGGUGCAGUUAAAGCUUCAUAGAAAAUGGUCUUGUUUUUCUGAACUUAAUUACAUUUUUACUCAUAUGAAAAUGAACUUCAUGGUUGUCUUCUUUCUGUAAUAAAAAGAAAAUAUAAACGGG
This is an RNA transcript of Manacus vitellinus (golden-collared manakin), 1145 nucleotides long. It is a transcript of the gene named chemokine like factor, with no coding region annotated. NCBI's taxonomy places the organism in Eukaryota, Metazoa, Chordata, Aves, Passeriformes, Pipridae. The transcript is spliced from 2 exons. The record is from RefSeq and is a predicted model, not a curated record.